RNAcentral lists this long non-coding RNA (351 nucleotides) under Pongo abelii (Sumatran orangutan). RNAcentral's name for it is "lincRNA". The record is from RNAcentral. Lineage: Eukaryota; Metazoa; Chordata; Mammalia; Primates; Hominidae.
UUUUCUUUCUUUUUUUUUUUUUUUUUUUUUGAGAUGGAGUCUUGCUGUGUCACCCAGGCUGGAGUGCAGUGGCAUAAUCUUGGCUGACUGCAAGCUCUGCAUUCCGGGUUCAAGAGAUUCUCCUCCCUCAGCCUUCCCAGUAGCUGGGAUUACAGGCAGCUGCUCCCAACCCCAGCAACUUUGCUAUCUUAGAACGGAUCACCAGUGAAAGAGGGGAAGUUGCUACUGUGAUGAAUUCUGCCAUGUGGUACCAGACUGCUGCCCAGACCACAGUGUCCUCUGCAACCCUGCUUCUCAGAUGACCAAGAUGGUGCUGCCGAUGGUGUUGAGGACGGAGAACCCACCAAGCCC